RNAcentral lists this unclassified non-coding RNA (26 nucleotides) under Mus musculus (house mouse). Its description in RNAcentral is "oocyte_clustered_small_RNA12666". Lineage: Eukaryota; Metazoa; Chordata; Mammalia; Rodentia; Muridae. The record is from RNAcentral.
ACCGUGGCUGGGGCCAGGAGCUGUGC